Molecule: long non-coding RNA, 761 nt
Organism: Serinus canaria (Common canary)
Lineage: Eukaryota; Metazoa; Chordata; Aves; Passeriformes; Fringillidae
Exons: 5
Source: RefSeq, a predicted model, not a curated record
CCGCCCCGCUGGGAGCCGCCCCAGCGCCCCCCGGGAUCGUAGGGCGCCGCCCGUCCCUAGUUUGCCGAAGCCGAUAGGGUCUUCAAGCGUCGUGCUUAGGAAGCAAAUGCAUGAGAUGAUGCUUUGGGCCAGGAUAUCGUACUGCUACAAUAUAGAGAAAAGACAUUUCCCAAUGACAAGAAAAAUAUUUUUAAUACUGGUAAAAAUCAAAAUGAACACAUCCUCUCCUCACAUCUAUACAGAACAGGAUGGGGAAGUCUAUAUUCUACCUGAUGUUCUGUGACAGUGCUAUUCUAAGGGCUGUUAGGUGUCAAGGAUCUUUGGUAACACCAGAAACAGAAGAUGACCUCUAAGAGCUCAGAAGUGUUCCAGUAAUAUGCUUCAACCACUAAUGGGCAUUUAGCCUUCGGGACUGCAAGUUGCCUUACAUGCAAGUGUGGACAUCUGACCUCAGAGCAUCAAUUUUUGUGCUCUGUUAUAGCUGAUAUAAUUGCUAAUGCAAGAAUGCCUCUGAGAGACAGUGAAUAAUCUUUCCUACAACAUCUUUAUCCCAUUCAUAAUUUUACAGAUCUCUUGUUUCUGUUUUCUCUAAUACGCUUUCCUAACAAAAGAAUUUUUGAAUUUCCUUUGUAUGGAAAAAGCUUCAAAACUUCAGACUAUUCUUUCCCCAUUAUGCUUCAUCCUCCUUUAUUUUUCUCUGAGAUGAUGUAAUCUAAAAUUAUAUGCAAAAUUUAAGUUGUGGGAUCACUACAAAUCUAGAC